UUGCUUUGGCCACAGAGUUGCAGAGAAGCUUCCAGAAAGCAAAUAGCAGGAGACAAAAUUCCACCACUGCAUUUCCUGACCCUGUUUAUGAAGAUAUUGACGUUCAGGAGCUUGAUUCAGGCUCAGGUUCAUUUACUUCGUAUAAUGCUGAAUUCAAAAGUGAAUAUGACGAUGUCCAG
This is a long non-coding RNA of Carcharodon carcharias (great white shark), 179 nucleotides long. RefSeq lists it as uncharacterized. Lineage: Eukaryota; Metazoa; Chordata; Chondrichthyes; Lamniformes; Lamnidae. The record is from RefSeq and is a predicted model, not a curated record. The transcript is spliced from 3 exons.